AAUCCUGCUUCUGGGUAUCAAAUUCAAUGGCUACAAUUUGGUUUGUGAUGCUGCCAUCGGUAGUUGCAUUGGUGAGGCCCAUCCACUGCCCCCAGCUCUGAUCAGGUACAUCAGCAGUCGGAGCUAUAAGAAAACCAUAACUUGAAGGGCUGGUGGUACAUAAUCCGGCCAGACGUAUUUUGAAGGCGAACAAUAUCGUUCUGCGAGUCGGGAGUUAGCUGCAGGGCGCCCUCAUCGAUGGAAGACGACCCUUGAGUGAAGGAGAAGUCUUGGUUGUGCUCCCUUUCAUUGAAUCCAACAUAGGCAAAACGAGGCUCAAGGCUCGGUUGGCUGCUCACAGCUCCAAAGAGCAAUACCACACAAGCCACAAGAACAGCAACCAAGGAAAACCAGAACAUACAGAUGAAUUCCAGGCUCUGUAGAUCAGCAAUGAGAAUCUCCAAUCCGGAUCGAGAUCUAAGUUCUUCCUUUGUGAAACUGUUUGAGAAAAAGCUAGAGGUAAGCUCUUUUUUGCCUUAAAAGUUAAGAGCUUUCCUCCAUGAUUAUCGCUUUGAUAUGAAAUGAAAAGAACAUCAUUGAUCAUCUGUAACUCAACGCAUUAGUUUAAUCUUUUGGAAGCAACCGGGUUUUGGGAAAGUUUGGAAACGGUCGAAGGUCAAAGGGGGGCUUGAGGAAGAAGGGUCAAAAUUUUCAUGCUGAAAAUGGAGAAAGAAGCCAUUGAUGAAUUCUCCACGUUGACAAAAACGAGCAGCUUCUGAGAGGUAACAGUGUAAAUAUAAAAUUGUUUUAGACUGCAACCGAGAUAUAGCGAUCUGAAUGGAAUGGCAUGUGGAAUCUUUUCAACUUUAAAAUGAUUAUUUUAUGUAUCCACUACCUUGAAAUUUUUUGUUUUUAUGAGUGGUUGUUGGGCCCACAUCGGAAAGUGAUUUGAAUAAAUGGUUUGUUUAUGUGGGUUUCAGAUUUGGUCUGAAUUCUUUCAAAAGAUUGAUGUUUUCAUCAACUGCUUUGGAUUUGGGAAUUUUUUUUUUUUUAUUAUUAUAUCUUUUACUUGGACUGUCAUGUCCCAUGGAUUGAGGAGUGAGGAGGAUAACAAACCACCCUUUAUUAGGAUUUGAAACCCUUCUCCCAGUAGACACCUUUUAAAAUCUUGAAGGGAAGUUCGAAAGGGAAAGCCCAAAAAGAACAAUAUCUGCUAGCGAUGGAUCUGAGGCAUUAUAGUAUCUUCGGGCCGUUUGAAUACAGCUAAGACAUAUACUUUCGACUAAGAGUUUAAAAGUUCGAAACUCUAUUCUAGUUGUUGAUUUCUUGAGCUGAGAGUACUUGUUUUAUGUCGAUUGAGCUUUGUUUGUUUUUUGAAAAGUUAUUAUUUGACAGUGAUCACAUACCCGUAUGAUUUAAUGGUCGAGAGUAUUUGCUUUAUGUCGAUUGAGCUUUGUUUGUUU
This is a long non-coding RNA of Cucurbita maxima (winter squash), 1442 nucleotides long. RefSeq lists it as uncharacterized. The transcript is spliced from 3 exons. The record is from RefSeq and is a predicted model, not a curated record. Lineage: Eukaryota; Viridiplantae; Streptophyta; Magnoliopsida; Cucurbitales; Cucurbitaceae.